This 1296-nucleotide long non-coding RNA is filed under the name Canis lupus familiaris (dog). RNAcentral describes it as "lncRNA (ENSCAFG00040001858.1)". Lineage: Eukaryota; Metazoa; Chordata; Mammalia; Carnivora; Canidae. The record is from RNAcentral.
AUGCUACCGCCUGCUCUCGGGUCGUGGGAAACGCUCCGACCUCAUCACACCAAGAAAAGUCCUGUCCUGCACUUGCAUUCGCGCUCCUCCAGCUCGCCUCCCGGGGUUGCUUCCACCCGGCGGAGGGGGCUGGCCCACCUUCUGCAGACGUUCCCCGCGGCGGUCUCUACGGUUCACAACACACCAAACGCCUUGCGGCUAAUUCCCAACGUAAAAGCGAGACCCCGCGUCUAUCCGCCCGGCGGGGCGCUCCGCGGCGGGGCUGCACGAGCCCGGGUCCAGCCAGCCGCCCCCGGCGCCCCGCACGUACCCGCCCCCGCGUCCGUCAGGCGCAGCCGCAGCCGCAGCUGUCGAUCUGCCGGUGCAGCUCCACGAUCCUCCGCCCCAUCAGCGCGGCCUCGGCGGCCUUCCGCUCCGCCUUCUCGCACAGCCUCAGCACCCGCUCCUCCGCCUCGCCGCCCGCGCGGCGGCCGGGCCCCAGCACGCCCUCGGCCGAGGCGUCCACCUCGCUCUGGAGCUCGUCCAGCAGGCUCGCGACCUCCAGCAACUUCCGGCGGGCCCGCAGGUGCGCGCGCACGUGCUCGCGCUGGAGGGCGGCGACGUCCCGGCGGGCGGCGGCGCGCUCGGGGCUCGGGGGGCUCGGGGGGCUCGGGGGGCUCGGGGGCCGGCCGCAGGGCUGCUCCGGCCCCCGCCGCUCGUCCGCGUCCGCGGGCCGCAUCGCGCCGCCCCCGCCCCCGUCCCCGCCCCGGCGGCCGGCUCACGGGCCCCGAGAGGCCGAGCGGCUGGCGGCGAGCGUCGGGUAGGGGGCCGAGCUCGCCGUGUGGAGCAACAGGUUGCGCCGAGUUUUCGCAGCAGAGACGGCGUCCAAAAUGGGGCCCCUGCCGUCUGCCAGCGCUGCGCUCACGUGCGUCCCGUUUACGGCACGCCGGGGCUGCUUUGCGGCCGGCCGUGCGUGCGUGCGUGCCGGCGCUCGCGGAGUGCGGACGUCGCCCUGCGUGCGCCGCGACGGUGCGCGGUCGCCCCGGGUCCAGCUCCCUAGCGUUCCAAGCCCCCGGGAACCGGCCGGGGUCCGCGCUGCUGGGAUGCGCAGCUUCGGUGCGGCGAGGAGCGAGGAGGCGAGCUGGGCGUCGGGGCUUCGGUGCGCGCGCCGGCGGCUCCCCGCGCUGGGCUCCCGGGCACGGUGGCUCUCGGCCCCGCCCGCAGCCGCGCUGUGCGCUGCGGACGGACGCUCACGGCCGGGUUCGCCCCGCCGCCCCGCCGCCCGCCCGACUUCUGCUGGAGCGUGGGAUUCACUGA